CGGCGGACGGGUGAGUAACGCGUGGGUAACCUGCCUUAUACAGGGGGAUAACAGUUAGAAAUGACUGCUAAUACCGCAUAAGCGCACAGUACCGCAUGGUAGUGUGUGAAAAACUCCGGUGGUAUAAGAUGGACCCGCGUCUGAUUAGCCAGUUGGCGGGGUAACGGCCUACCAAAGCGACGAUCAGUAGCCGACCUGAGAGGGUGACCGGCCACAUUGGGACUGAGACACGGCCCAAACUCCUACGGGAGGCAGCAG
RNAcentral lists this ribosomal RNA (258 nucleotides) under uncultured bacterium. Its description in RNAcentral is "partial 16S ribosomal RNA". It matches the Rfam family "Bacterial small subunit ribosomal RNA", at positions 96 to 354 of the family's 1533-position model. The record is from RNAcentral.